Molecule: unclassified non-coding RNA, 231 nt
Filed under: Bombus terrestris (buff-tailed bumblebee)
Lineage: Eukaryota; Metazoa; Arthropoda; Insecta; Hymenoptera; Apidae
Description: misc RNA ENSBTSG00005030672.1
Source: RNAcentral
CCAAUAUUUUUACUAUUUUACAACUUAUUCCAUAAAUGAAACUGACGGGCAAUUUGUACACUUUUCAAAACUAAUUUCAAUUUAAUCAAUUUUAUUAAAUUUACUAUUAAAUCCUCUUUCAAAUUAAUUUUUAAAAUUAGUCAUUAAAAUUAAAUUAUAUGGCGGCUUUUCAUUCUUAUUAGAGAAAUUUGUAGUUUAAUUUGAUAGUCCAUGAUAAGAUUUACUUGAAUU